Long non-coding RNA from Chiroxiphia lanceolata (lance-tailed manakin), 654 nucleotides. RefSeq lists it as uncharacterized. The transcript has 3 exons. NCBI's taxonomy places the organism in Eukaryota, Metazoa, Chordata, Aves, Passeriformes, Pipridae. The record is from RefSeq and is a predicted model, not a curated record.
GCAGCAGCAAACAGCUUUGGGCUGACUGCUCAGGGCUGGGGCUGGGGGGAGCAGGCCUGGCCACAAACCCUCCUGCCUCCAAGAAAUCCUGAAAACCCAGAGCCAGCACUUGGGUUCAGUUUUCCUGAAACACCUGAAUUUUAAUUCUUGUGCACUUGUAGUCCCCUGCUGAGCCCCUGGACCACCAGCCCAUCUCCAGAGGGAGCAGGCAGGACCCCCUGGUGGUGUGCAGUGUAGAGCUGCUGUAUUUUACCAGCAUCAUUCCACAGCACUCUCCUGGUGGCAUUUGGUGCCGGAGCCGAGCGCUGCCCAGCAGUAAUUAAUGGGGCCCUUUCCUACCCCUCAGCUCCACAUCAGUGGACUAUCAAUUACUGAAGCCGAGCUGUGCAUUUCUGAGCUGCUGAAUAACCGAGGGGACUGCUGAGAGUCCAGAAGUGGCUGUCAUCUUCUCAUUAGAUCCUUGAAGAGGGUUGUGAGGAGACCAACCACCGAGGGCAAACUUGCCAUAAACAUUCUGAGCUGUGGGCUGUGAGCAGAGACUCAGGUCCCACCAGUACCACGAUCUCCAAACCCCCAGGGACAAAACGUGCUUUGGGAAACCUGCAAUCCCUCCAUCCUCCUACCAUGAAGCCCUGAAGCUAAGAGGGUUUCGAA